RNAcentral lists this ribosomal RNA (1949 nucleotides) under human gut metagenome. RNAcentral's name for it is "bacterial LSU rRNA". It matches the Rfam family "Bacterial large subunit ribosomal RNA", at positions 1 to 1974 of the family's 2925-position model. The record is from RNAcentral.
GAAAGUAAGCAAGGGCAGACGGUGGAUGCCUUGGCUCUCGGAGGCGACGAAGGACGUGAUAAGCUGCGAAAAGCUCGGGGGAGGCGCAAAUAGCCGUUGAUCCCGGGAUAUCCGAAUGGGGCAACCCGGCAGGCUGAAGGCCUGCCAUCCCGUAAGGGAGGCGAACGUGGGGAACUGAAACAUCUAAGUACCCAUAGGAGGAGAAAAUAAACAAUGAUUCCGUAAGUAGUGGCGAGCGAACACGGAAGAGCCCAAACCCGUGCCGUCUAGGCGACACGGGGGUUGUAGGACCACGACGUGGCAAGAUAGAGUCAAGUGGAACGCCUUGGAAAAGGCGGUCAUAGAGGGUGAAAACCCCGUACACGACUGACGAUUGAAGCCUAGUGGCAUCCUGAGUAGCGCGGGGCACGAGAAAUCUUGCGUGAAACUGCGGGGCCCAUCCCGUAAGGCUAAAUACUCCCGAGAGACCGAUAGCGAACCAGUACCGUGAGGGAAAGGUGAAAAGAACCCCGAGCAGGGGAGUGAAAUAGACCCUGAACCCGUCUGCCUACAAGCGGUCGGAGCGUCGUAAUGACGUGACGGCGUGCCUUUUGCAUAAUGAACCUACGAGUUACCUUCCCCGGCAAGGUUAAGUACCUAAGGUACGGAGCCGAAGCGAAAGCGAGUCUGAAUAGGGCGGCCAGUCGGGGGGGGUAGACGCGAAACCGAGUGAUCUACCCUUGGCCAGGUUGAAGGUUGGGUAACACCAACUGGAGGACCGGAUGGGUAAGCGUUGAAAAGCUUUCCAAUGAGCUGAGGGUAGGGGUGAAAGGCUAAUCAAACUCGGAGAUAGCUCGUACUCCCCGAAAUGCAUUUAGGUGCAGCCUCUUUAUAGUAUAUCGUGAGGUAGAGCGACUGAUUGGAUGCGAGGGCUUCACCGCCUAUCAAGUCCAGAUAAACUCCGAAUGCGCGAUAUAUAUUUACAGGGAGUGAGGGCGCGGGUGCUAAGGUCCGUGUCCGAGAGGAGAAGAAUCCAGACCACCGGCUAAGGCCCCCAAAUGAUCGUUGAGUUGAACUAACGAGGUCGGAUCGCAGAGACAGCUAGGAUGUUGGCUUGGAAGCAGCCAUUCAUUUAAAGAGUGCGUAACAGCUCACUAGUCGAGCGAUCUGGCGUGGAUAAUAAUCGGGCAUAAACGAUCUGCCGAAGCCGUGGAUGUCGCAAGACAUGGUAGGGGAGCAUUCCAUGCGGCGUCGAAGAUGAGGGAUGACCCUUGUUGGAGCGCAUGGAAAAGCAAAUGUAGGUAUGAGUAACGAUAAGGGGGGCGAGAAACCCCCCCGCCGAAAGACCAAGGUUUCCUGAUCAACGCUAAUCGGAUCAGGGUGAGUCGGGACCUAAGGCAAAGCCGAACGGCGACGCCGAUGGAAGAAUGGGUUAAUAUUCCCAUACUGCCUCAUGGAGUGACGUGGAGACGGAGAAGUGACAGUCCUGCCGGCUGACGGAAUAGCCGGUUGAAGGGUGUAGAUAUUGAUUCCCGUAGGCAAAUCCGCGGGGAGAGUCGAACCUGACAGUAUACCGAGUACUUGUACGAGGUAAUAUGGACGUAACCAUGCUCCCGAGAAAAUCCGCUAAACUUAUCCAUGCGGCACCCGUACCGUAAACGGACACACGUGGUCGGGUUGAGAAUACUGAGGCGCUCGAGUGACUCACGGUUAAGGAACUAGGCAAAUUGACCCUGUAACUUCGGGAUAAAGGGUCCUCGUCGUAAGGCGAGGCGCAGAGAAUAGGUCCAGGCAACUGUUUAACAAAAACACAUGGCUGUGCUAAAUGGAAACAUGACGUAUACAGCCUGACACCUGCCCGGUGCUGGAAGGUUAAGAGGAGAUGUCAUCGCGAGAGAAGCGUUGAAUUGAAGCCCCAGUAAACGGCGGCCGUAACUAUAACGGUCCUAAGGUAGCGAAAUUCCUUGUCG